ACAGAUGAGAAGCUUGCUUCUCUGAUGUUAGCGGCGGACGGGUGAGUAACACGGUGGGUAACCUACCUAUAAGACUGGGAUAACUCCGGGAAACCGGGGCUAAUACCGGAUAAUAUUUUGAACCGCAUGGUUCAAUAGUGAAAGACGGUUUCGGCUGUCACUUAUAGAUGGACCCGCGCCGUAUUAGCUAGUUGGUAAGGUAACGGCUUACCAAGGCGACGAUACGUAGCCGACCUGAGAGGGUGAUCGGCCACACUGGAACUGAGACACGGUCCAGACUCCUACGGGAGGCAGCAGUAGGGAAUCUUCCGCAAUGGGCGAAAGCCUGACGGAGCAACGCCGCGUGAGUGAUGAAGGUCUUCGGAUCGUAAAACUCUGUUGUUAGGGAAGAACAAAUUUGUUAGUAACUGAACAAGUCUUGACGGUACCUAACCAGAAAGCCACGGCUAACUACGUGCCAGCAGCCGCGGUAAUACGUAGGUGGCAAGCGUUAUCCGGAAUUAUUGGGCGUAAAGCGCGCGUAGGCGGUUUCUUAAGUCUGAUGUGAAAGCCCACGGCUCAACCGUGGAGGGUCAUUGGAAACUGGGAAACUUGAGUGCAGAAGAGGAGAGUGGAAUUCCAUGUGUAGCGGUGAAAUGCGCAGAGAUAUGGAGGAACACCAGUGGCGAAGGCGGCUCUCUGGUCUGUAACUGACGCUGAUGUGCGAAAGCGUGGGGAUCAAACAGGAUUAGAUACCCUGGUAGUCCACGCCGUAAACGAUGAGUGCUAA
Molecule: ribosomal RNA, 769 nt
Filed under: Staphylococcus sp. SK65
Lineage: Bacteria; Bacillati; Bacillota; Bacilli; Caryophanales; Staphylococcaceae
Description: bacterial SSU rRNA
Rfam family: Bacterial small subunit ribosomal RNA
Source: RNAcentral